CAUUGAAACACUGGUUUCCAUACGAUCACCAAAGUUAAACAACAUUGAGCCUGGUCAGUACCUAGAUGGAUGACCACAUAGGAACACCAGGUGCGG
Molecule: non-coding RNA, 96 nt
Organism: Acanthosepion pharaonis
Lineage: Eukaryota; Metazoa; Mollusca; Cephalopoda; Sepiida; Sepiidae
Source: the annotation of a GenBank genome assembly